Molecule: ribosomal RNA, 465 nt
Filed under: Vreelandella stevensii
Lineage: Bacteria; Pseudomonadati; Pseudomonadota; Gammaproteobacteria; Oceanospirillales; Halomonadaceae
Description: partial 16S ribosomal RNA
Rfam family: Bacterial small subunit ribosomal RNA
Source: RNAcentral
CCUACGGGGGGCUGCAGUGGGGAAUAUUGGACAAUGGGGGGAACCCUGAUCCAGCCAUGCCGCGUGUGUGAAGAAGGCCCUCGGGGUGUAAAGCACUUUCAGUGAGGAAGAACGCCUGGUGGUUAAUACCCAUCAGGAAAGACAUCACUCACAGAAGAAGCACCGGCUAACUCCGUGCCAGCAGCCGCGGUAAUACGGAGGGUGCGAGCGUUAAUCGGAAUUACUGGGCGUAAAGCGCGCGUAGGUGGCUUGAUAAGCCGGUUGUGAAAGCCCCGGGCUCAACCUGGGAACGGCAUCCGGAACUGUCAAGCUAGAGUGCAGGAGAGGAAGGUAGAAUUCCCGGUGUAGCGGUGAAAUGCGUAGAGAUCGGGAGGAAUACCAGUGGCGAAGGCGGCCUUCUGGACUGACACUGACACUGAGGUGCGAAAGCGUGGGUAGCAAACAGGAUUAGAUACCCUUGUAGUC